GGUCGGAAGUUCAAGUCUUCCCAGGCCCACCACACUCAUCGAGUGAGCAUUCGUCUUCUGGUUACGGGGCCAUAGCUCAGCUGGGAGAGCGCGUGCUUUGCAAGCAUGAGGUCGUCGGUUCGAUCCCGUCUGGCUCCACCAGAUGGUUUGAUCACCGACUACUCAUACCGUCGUCCGCGAAACAUCACUUCGCACUUACUAGUCCGGAUGGACAGUAAGCUGCGUGAUUUCUGACAUCGUAAAGAGGAGAUCGAUCCGAGUUGGAUCGGGCAACAAGUAAUUGUUGCGCGAUACUUCAUUAUCUCCGGAUCAUUUCGGCGCUCGUGCGUCUUCCAGGGUAGCUCACAAGGCUCGUCUGAAGGACACGCGAGUUGUAAAUGAUCCUUUUAGCGAAGCUUGACCGCCUCGCUAUCGGAACGAUCUUACGAAGCAAGCUGGUCUUUCUAAUCAUUGUCCGGCUGCAGAUAGCGUUCAUCGAGGGCGCGUGCCUUAGAGACUUAGGUUUCUUGGCAAUUCUGCAGACAACAUUCUGCCGAGUGUGUGGACAUUGAUAAUGAGAGC
Molecule: transfer RNA, 561 nt
Filed under: Bradyrhizobium sp. S1.12
Lineage: Bacteria; Pseudomonadati; Pseudomonadota; Alphaproteobacteria; Hyphomicrobiales; Nitrobacteraceae
Also listed under: 3 other names
Description: partial 16S-23S ribosomal RNA intergenic spacer
Rfam family: tRNA (bases 66-138)
Source: RNAcentral